UGCAAGUCGAACGGUGAAAGAGGAGCUUGCUCCUCUGGAUCAGUGGCGAACGGGUGAGUAACACGUGAGUAACCUGCCCCAGACUCUGGGAUAAGCACUGGAAACGGUGUCUAAUACCGGAUACGAGCUUCAGCCGCAUGGCUAGGAGCUGGAAAGAAUUUCGGUCUGGGAUGGACUCGCGGCCUAUCAGCUAGUUGGUGAGGUAACGGCCCACCAAGGCGACGACGGGUAGCCGGCCUGAGAGGGUGACCGGCCACACUGGGACUGAGACACGGCCCAGACUCCUACGGGAGGCAGCAGUGGGGAAUAUUGCACAAUGGGCGCAAGCCUGAUGCAGCAACGCCGCGUGAGGGACGACGGCCUUCGGGUUGUAAACCUCUUUUAGUAGGGAAGAAGCGAAAGUGACGGUACCUGCAGAAAAAGCACCGGCUAACUACGUGCCAGCAGCCGCGGUAAUACGUAGGGUGCAAGCGUUAUCCGGAAUUAUUGGGCGUAAAGAGCUCGUAGGCGGUUUGUCACGUCUGCUGUGAAAACUGGAGGCUCAACCUCCAGCCUGCAGUGGGUACGGGCAGACUAGAGUGCGGUAGGGGAGAUUGGAAUUCCUGGUGUAGCGGUGGAAUGCGCAGAUAUCAGGAGGAACACCGAUGGCGAAGGCAGAUCUCUGGGCCGUAACUGACGCUGAGGAGCGAAAGCAUGGGGAGCGAACAGGAUUAGAUACCCUGGUAGUCCAUGCCGUAAACGUUGGGAACUAGAUGUAGGGACCAUUCCACGGUUUCUGUGUCGCAGCUAACGCAUUAAGUUCCCCGCCUGGGGAGUACGGCCGCAAGGCUAAAACUCAAAGGAAUUGACGGGGGCCCGCACAAGCGGCGGAGCAUGCGGAUUAAUUCGAUGCAACGCGAAGAACCUUACCAAGGC
RNAcentral lists this ribosomal RNA (915 nucleotides) under uncultured Microbacteriaceae bacterium. RNAcentral describes it as "bacterial SSU rRNA". It matches the Rfam family "Bacterial small subunit ribosomal RNA", at positions 56 to 980 of the family's 1533-position model. Lineage: Bacteria; Bacillati; Actinomycetota; Actinomycetes; Micrococcales; Microbacteriaceae. The record is from RNAcentral.